Dermacentor albipictus is the source of this 640-nucleotide long non-coding RNA. RefSeq lists it as uncharacterized. Lineage: Eukaryota; Metazoa; Arthropoda; Arachnida; Ixodida; Ixodidae. The record is from RefSeq and is a predicted model, not a curated record.
CACGGGCACUGCGCACGGCGGCUGAGCGGUGCACAGCGGCCACGCGUCCUCGCUGCCGACCGUCGUCACCAACAACAGGCACGCCUCCAUGCACAGCGAACCUGUUGUCUCCGAAACAAUAAGCUCGCCGCAACCACCAUGUCUUGUGCGGCACUCAUCAGUGAUCCGGGCUUGAUCUGCUUCAGCUGAGAGAAGAACGCAUACCGCGCAUCGUCAACAGCACUAGGAAGAAAGGCACCGCUGAGCAACAGCGGGGCCCAAGGCCGCUUGGCGUUACGGGACUACCAGGGACCUGUUGCCGACAUCGUGGGCGGCUGCGCAGACAAGUGCUGAGCGUCAUGUGCGGGCGUGCAUGGGUGACUGGACUUCUCGCUAGGUAGUCCUGACACAUAUCACUCGCUACGCGGUAUCUACCCUCUUGCCGCCACCCGCUACCAACACCACCUGACGCCCUCCCAGCCUCCACCGUUCAGAGCCAACGGUGAGAGCACCUACUUCGCCUCGCCUGCCAGUUCAAGCCACUACGGACCAACACUACGGUGAGAGCGCCGCCCUGUUACUUGUACGCCGCCUUAUCGCUUAGGGUUUACCGUUACGGGUAGUUUGAGCAGGAACUUGUGGUACUCUAUAUAGGCGUUGA